UCAAACUUGGUCAUUUAGAGGAAGUAAAAGUCGUAACAAGGUUUCCGUAGGUGAACCUGCGGAAGGAUCAUUACAGAGUUGCGAAACUCCCACACCCUCGCGAACGUACCCGUCCCGUUGCUUCGGCGGGCCGCCCCGCGGUCGUCCGCGGGCGCCCGCCGGAGGCCCUAAACCCCGUGUCCUGUGGUGGCCUCUCUGAGUUAACUAUCGAAAUCAGUCAAAACUUUCAACAACGGAUCUCUUGGUUCUGGCAUCGAUGAAGAACGCAGC
This 270-nucleotide unclassified non-coding RNA is filed under the name uncultured fungus. RNAcentral describes it as "partial contains small subunit ribosomal RNA, internal transcribed spacer 1, and 5.8S ribosomal RNA". The stretch from base 1 to 73 matches the Rfam family "Eukaryotic small subunit ribosomal RNA", at positions 1759 to 1831 of the family's 1831-position model. The record is from RNAcentral. Lineage: Eukaryota; Fungi.